Molecule: ribosomal RNA, 647 nt
Filed under: uncultured Bacteroides sp.
Lineage: Bacteria; Pseudomonadati; Bacteroidota; Bacteroidia; Bacteroidales; Bacteroidaceae
Description: bacterial SSU rRNA
Rfam family: Bacterial small subunit ribosomal RNA
Source: RNAcentral
GAAGCUUGCUUCAAUUGCCGGCGACCGGCGCACGGGUGAGUAACGCGUAUCCCACCUUCCGCUUACUCGGGGAUAGCCUUUCGAAAGAAAGAUUAAUACCCGAUGGUAUCUUAAGCACGCAUGAGAUUAAGAUUAAAGAUUUAUCGGUAAGCGAUGGGGAUGCGUUCCAUUAGGCAGUUGGCGGGGUAACGGCCCACCAAACCUACGAUGGAUAGGGGUUCUGAGAGGAAGGUCCCCCACAUUGGAACUGAGACACGGUCCAAACUCCUACGGGAGGCAGCAGUGAGGAAUAUUGGUCAAUGGGCGAGAGCCUGAACCAGCCAAGUAGCGUGAAGGAUGACGGCCCUACGGGUUGUAAACUUCUUUUGUGCGGGAAUAAAGGAGCCUACGUGUAGGCUUUUGCAUGUACCGUAACGAAUAAGCAUCGGCUAACUCCGUGCCAGCAGCCGCGGUAAUACGGAGGAUGCGAGCGUUAUCCGGAUUUAUUGGGUUUAAAGGGAGCGUAGACGGGUUUUUAAGUCAGCUGUGAAAGUUUGGGGCUCAACCUUAAAAUUGCAGUUGAAACUGGAGACCUUGAGUACGGUUGAGGCAGGCGGAAUUCGUGGUGUAGCGGUGAAAUGCUUAGAUAUCACGAAGAACUCCGAUUG